UAAGACUAGUGAGAGGCACGUCAGAGGACUUUAACACCUGAGCAACUGGCAAACUACACUUGAGAACAAUUGAAGACUACUCUUGAGAAGUAUGUACAGAGGAGUACAGUAAGCAGCGAGAGGCUGAUUAUCGAAGUUUGAUGCAAGGAAAGAAAUCGGUUGUAGAGUAUAAUCGAGAAUUCUGUGAGCUAACACGUUCGCUCAUCAGAAGAUGGAUACUGAUGAAGAGAUGUCUGAGUUUUAAGUGC
Molecule: long non-coding RNA, 248 nt
Filed under: Salvia miltiorrhiza (redroot sage)
Lineage: Eukaryota; Viridiplantae; Streptophyta; Magnoliopsida; Lamiales; Lamiaceae
Description: long non-coding RNA (SMIL_LNC002397)
Source: RNAcentral